RNAcentral lists this ribosomal RNA (498 nucleotides) under uncultured Glomeromycotina. Its description in RNAcentral is "partial small subunit ribosomal RNA". It matches the Rfam family "Eukaryotic small subunit ribosomal RNA", at positions 591 to 1092 of the family's 1831-position model. The record is from RNAcentral. Lineage: Eukaryota; Fungi; Glomeromycota.
CCAAUAGCGUAUAUUAAAGUUGUUGCAGUUAAAAAGCUCGUAGUUGAAUUUCGGGAUCAGUACGCCGGUCGUGCCUUCGGUAUGUACUGGUGUCACUGAUUCCUCCCUUCUGAAGAACCGUUAUGCCAUUCAUUUGGUGUGACGGGGAAUCAGGACUGUUACUUUGAAAAAAUUAGAGUGUUUAAAGCAGGCUCGCGCUUGAAUACAUUAGCAUGGAAUAAUGAAAUAGGACGUUUGAUCUUAUUUUGUUGGUUUCUAGGAUCGACGUAAUGAUUAAUAGGGAUAGUUGGGGGCAUUAGUAUUCAAUUGUCAGAGGUGAAAUUCUUGGAUUUAUUGAAGACUAACUACUGCGAAAGCAUUUGCCAAGGAUGUUUUCAUUAAUCAAGAACGAAAGUUAGGGGAUCGAAGACGAUCAGAUACCGUCGUAGUCUUAACCAUAAACUAUGCCGACUAGGGAUCGGAUGAUGUUAUUUUUAAUGACUCAUUCGGCGCCUUACG